Molecule: non-coding RNA, 1130 nt
Organism: Poecilia reticulata (guppy)
Lineage: Eukaryota; Metazoa; Chordata; Actinopteri; Cyprinodontiformes; Poeciliidae
Source: RefSeq, a predicted model, not a curated record
UAAUAAGGUAGUUAAACUUUCUAGUUUAGUGAAAUUGUGAACUUAAACUAUUGUUAUUUUAAUACUGUUGGAGAUCUACAGUUAAGGUUCGAUGAUGCAGGAGAUCCCAGAAGAGUCAGCGAGUUAAAAUCAACCAAGGUUUWUUAAACAGUACAAAAUAUAUCUUGGAGAUCCAUUUCAAGCACCAAACAUGCAUACAAAGUUACCCAAAGGCAAUCCCAAUGAGAUCUUUAGUCUCUUUGUCUUUGUCUCCUACUAUAUAGCCCCCCCAAUGACUGUGUCACUGUGCUCUGUGGCCUGACCCCCACCCUGCUGAGUGCUGGCUCAGCCUUUGGUUUUAAGGCCAGUAGUCAUACAAAGUUUUAUUGAAGCAAACAGCUUUGAUUGAUCUGUAAUCCCAGUUCCUGUCCCGGGACAAAGUUAUAAAAUUAACAACCAUUUGGUUCAUGUCCUCUUUACUCYACAUUUUGGUUCCUGUCUCCUAGCUUGGUUAGGGCUUCCAGGAUGUUGUUAUCACUUUCCUAUGCAAAUCAAGCUUCCAAAGGCCAGACUCGCACUGGGAGAGAAAAAGUAGAACAGAGCAAGGCCCUACUUGUAGUUUCCUUGUAACUCAUCAAAGUAAAUUCAUGAUUAUACAUCAAUGUAACAUUCAACAAAAAUUACUUUACAAUAUUUCCACAAUACCUAAGCCUUAUCAGGCAGGUAUUUAUAAACUGCAGUUAAAUUCAAUAACUUAGAAUAUGCUUCCAUAUGUGGCUCAGUUGUCAGAUUAAAAGUACUCUAAGCAGUGUUCACAAUCCGGUCUAAAUACUUUACCCUGCAGAGGUGUGAUGACUGCUGAAGAUGUCAGCACUGCAUCGACUGAUGGCACGCCAGUCCACAACAGAAGAUGGAAGCUUAAAAUGAAGAAAAGUUGCAUUAUUGUUAAUCCCUCAACUCAGAUGUGCAGCUGUUUAUUGAUGCAUCUUUCAUUACUUUUUGGAGGACAUUGUUUUGAAGAGCAUUGGGACAGAGAACACAGGUUUUGUUGGGGCUCAGAUUGUGGCCUGGUACAAAAGGAGCAGCAUCACACUCUGUUUGGGUCCCAGUCCGACAGGACAGAACAGAGUGAACAASAAGGACGCUCAGGA